CCUACGGGAGGCUGCAGUGGGGAAUAUUGGACAAUGGGCGAAAGCCUGAUCCAGCCAUGCCGCGUGUGUGAAGAAGGCCUUCGGGUUGUAAAGCACUUUCAGUGGGGAAGAAAGCCUUGGGGCUAAUACCCUCGAGGAAGGACAUCACCCACAGAAGAAGCACCGGCUAACUCCGUGCCAGCAGCCGCGGUAAUACGGAGGGUGCGAGCGUUAAUCGGAAUUACUGGGCGUAAAGCGCGCGUAGGCGGUCUGAUAAGCCGGUUGUGAAAGCCCCGGGCUCAACCUGGGAACGGCAUCCGGAACUGUCAGGCUAGAGUGCGGGAGAGGAAGGUAGAAUUCCCGGUGUAGCGGUGAAAUGCGUAGAGAUCGGGAGGAAUACCAGUGGCGAAGGCGGCCUUCUGGACUGACACUGACGCUGAGGUGCGAAAGCGUGGGUAGCAAACAGGAUUAGAUACCCGGGUAGUC
RNAcentral lists this ribosomal RNA (465 nucleotides) under Vreelandella stevensii. Its description in RNAcentral is "partial 16S ribosomal RNA". It matches the Rfam family "Bacterial small subunit ribosomal RNA", at positions 338 to 795 of the family's 1533-position model. Lineage: Bacteria; Pseudomonadati; Pseudomonadota; Gammaproteobacteria; Oceanospirillales; Halomonadaceae. The record is from RNAcentral.